Molecule: long non-coding RNA, 764 nt
Filed under: Chinchilla lanigera (long-tailed chinchilla)
Lineage: Eukaryota; Metazoa; Chordata; Mammalia; Rodentia; Chinchillidae
Description: lncRNA (ENSCLAG00000023515.1)
Source: RNAcentral
AUGAUCGUGUAUGCCUUGGGGCCAGCACUCGGUGGCCUGCUGAUGUCCCUAGGCAGAAAUAGCCCGUUUCAUCAUCGGCUCUGGACGAGCCAUGCCUGCAUUCCUCGAGUAAGGAGCCACUCUCCACUGAGCUUUUGGAGCAAUGAUCUCUCCAGCUGCAGGCUGGGGACAGGCCAGGCUGGGGCUCGGGGGACAGUGUGGAAGGCCAUGAAUAAUCGGGAAGAAGCAGGGAUGAAUGGGAGGAAAGGGACUUCCGGGGAGUCACACGGUGAAUCUGGAAGAUGCCAGAGCUGGUGGCUGACCCUGACCCAGCCAUUGUGGAGGUAUGGACACUCUCUCUUCCUGGCACACUCUCAGCUGUAAACUCCUACACUGUCUAGGGCUGCCCAGGGCCAGGUGUGGCUCCUAGCUGGAUUUUACAAGAGCUUGGAUGGAUUGGCUGCAUUUAAGAAUCAAGAGAUAUUUUGCAGGAAUAGCUAUCUGGCUGGCUUUUUGGCGGAAGACGGGGGACCUGGAGGUGGCACACCCCAACAGGCAGGAGCUGAGCUGAGCUGAGCUGAGGCAGGUUCCAGCCCCUGCUUCUCCCCUCCCCACACAGCCUGCCAGCCCUGGGGGUGGGGACCUCAGCAUUCGCAGCUCUGUUGGAGGCAGGCAAGGAUCCUGUGACUCCUGGCCCCGCACCCUGUCAGCUGCGCCUGGAUACUCUCCAGCCCUCAGAAAGCCAGAUGCCGUGGGAGCUAGGGAAAAGGGAACCUGAAGGAAAC